UUCCAACAAAAGAGACAGAAAUCUGAGGAG
RNAcentral lists this non-coding RNA (30 nucleotides) under Rattus norvegicus (Norway rat). Lineage: Eukaryota; Metazoa; Chordata; Mammalia; Rodentia; Muridae. The record is from RNAcentral.